AGACGCAGCGGGAGUAAAGGUGAGUAAAAUCUCACCAAGGUCCACUUUGAGACCUAUUUAUUUUGAUGAUGAUUGUGAUGUUGGUUUUGUUGAUGAUGAUGAUAAUGUUUUGGAUGAUUAUGAUGAUGAUGAUGAUAAUGAUUUUGAUGAUUAUGAUGAUGAUGAUGCUUAUAACUUAGAAAAUUAUGUCUUUAAAGGUUUUAAAAUAUAUGAGCUUGAUCGCCAACGGCUCAUAGGUAAGAUAAAACAAGUUUUCCUUAUGAUUAUUUUAAGUUCCUCGUGAUCAUAAUUUUAUUGGUGAUUGAUAGAUAAUUUCUUGUGGAAAUAUCUAGAUUUAUUCAUAUAAUUUUAUCUAUGUGGAAAGAUAUAAUUUUAUGAUGUGUUCUUUGUGUUGUUGAUGAUGUUGAAUUAAAGAAUGAUGAUGAUUUAAAUGUUAUGCAAUUAGAUAAUUGUGGUUGCUAUGAUGAUGAUUGUGAUGAUGAUGAUGAUGAUGUUGAUGAUGUUGAAUUUAAGUAUACGUUAUUGUUUGUUUUUAAAAAUAAAUGAGCUUGAUCGUCAACGGCUCAUAGGUAAGAUAAAACAAGUUAGAUAGUCAAACUGGGUUCCAAGCCUUUAAUCGGGUGAUUGGUUAAAGUUAUGACGCUAUUAUUAUUUUGUGAUGUGAUAUUGGACAGUCAAACUGGGUUCCAAGCCUUUGGCCGGGUAAUUGGUUACGGUUAAGAAUAGAGCUCUAGUCCGUCUGUCGGUGUAGGUCAUGGGAGGUACCUGAAGGUAUCUGGGACCCAUGGGUACAUAAAUUGUUGUUGUAGGUCAUGAGAGAUAUUUAUUAAUAUCUGGGACUCAUGGGUACAUGUGUUUGUUGUAGGUAAUGGGAGAUACCUUAUUGGUAUUUAGGACUCAUGGGCACAUGUAUAUUUGUAAAAGUAUUGGUUUUAUGGUUUUAACAUUUUCUUAAUUUUUGUAAUUUAUUUCUUUGUUUGAAUAUCUCCUGAACUAUGCUUAAUGCAGGAGAUUCUUUAAAUCUUAAUUGUGUGAUUUUUAGUGAAUUUCCUGAACUAUCCUUUUUGCAGGAUUCACUUAUGAUUUUGAUUGUUGUGAAUUGUUGUGUUUUCUUAUUUACUCUCUUUUGAAUUUUAUUGUUUUGAGGUGAUUCCUGAACUAAGUUCUAAAGCAGGAAUUACCGGUUUUAUCUUAUGUGGUGUUGGAGAUGUUGAGUAAAUUUUGAGAAUUACUCAUACGAGCUUUUUAGCUUACCGGGUUUGUUGUUUACAACCCGGUGCACCAAUUCAUGAUGUAGGGGUUAGACUUACAAGUGUUGAUCAACAUGGUUGAGGCAGAGGCAUAGUGGCUGGAGUUUAGAUGAUGUACAUUUUAUUUGUAUAUUAUGUAAGUUUUUUUUUAAGCUCGUGUGAGCAUCUUCAUUUUACUAGACUUUUGAAGUUGUAAAUAAGGAGAUGUAAUGUUUAACUCAGUGAUGAGUUUUGUUGAUAUUUAUAUUUCCAGCUUUUGGGUUUAGUUUGGGAUUGUUGAGCAGGUAUUGGAGUCUUAGUUUUGAGUUAUAUCAUGCCCAAAUUUUUAAAAAUUAUCCUUCGAAAAUUGGGGUGUGACAAUUUCGGUUGUGGGCGAAGGCUUGAUUGCAUUUUAGAUUAUUUAAAGGAAGUUGUAUGUUAUCUUAGUUGGAUAAUUAUGUGUUGAUCUGGAAGUUGAUUUUGUUAUUGUUAUUGGUGAUGUGUUGUGUUUGGGGAGCAUGUAGGCUCCAGAAGUUAAGGUUGGAUUGAGAAAUUUUAUAAGUGUUGCAGGUUUUCUUUAGGAAUGGUUGUCUAUUUUCAAGGGAGAUUAUGCCGAAUUUUCGGUAAUAUCUUCUUUAGAGGUGGUCCCCGCAGGACUUACUCCGGAUUUUAGGGUAAAAUUCGGAGUGGAUCUUGACACACGCUAUGCGAGAUGUUGCAUUCACAAAUACACUAAUACAAUUAUCAGUGAUGAGGAUUCCCUUACCGGUUUUAAAUGCUUGUUGUAUGUUACCAAUACCAUGGACAUAUUCCGCCUUACACCUAAAACAUUUUUGGUGCUCUUUGAGUGGAAGAGUUGUCGUGGAUCUUGGUGAGGAACAAAAAUUUUCAAGUUGUGCAGGCAUUCUAAAUUAACAUGAACAAUAUAGGACUCGUCGUCAACAGAUUAGGGCAUUGCGUAUGAGCCACUAUCUGUGCGGACUAGUAGAGACCGUUGUCUAAACGGCAACAAUGCUGCUAAGAAUAGGGAGAGAGAAACCUAGCAUUUACUCUAACUUUCACUCUAAAGAUAUCUUACACAUAACUUAAUCAUUUGAAUUUUGAUCAUAAAUGCAAGAAGUUUUUCUCAAAUUGUGAAUAGGAAAAAAAAUAAUUUUAAAUACACACCCUUAAUCUCUUAAUACACACAUUUUACUUAAUACACUACUCAUCUAGUUUUUCAUUUCAAUAUUAUAAUAAAUACACAUUACAAACUGCCUAAGAUACCCUCAAUAUCUAAAACUAAUAAUAAUUUGUUAUUUAAUAUAAUUGUUAUAUAUUUACUAUUUCACAACUCUCUUUACGUGUUCUCUUUUAUUUUCUGUUAGAUAUUUUUGAUCAAGUUAGAAAUUUUUUCUUGAUAUUUUUCAAUUUAUAAUCAAAAGAGUAAUAUUAUAUUCGAACUCCAAAUCUCCAAUAUGACAUUAAUCGGCUAGAAUUUGA
Molecule: long non-coding RNA, 2711 nt
Filed under: Fragaria vesca (wild strawberry)
Lineage: Eukaryota; Viridiplantae; Streptophyta; Magnoliopsida; Rosales; Rosaceae
Description: long non-coding RNA (FVES_LNC001830)
Source: RNAcentral